Molecule: long non-coding RNA, 954 nt
Organism: Aedes albopictus (Asian tiger mosquito)
Lineage: Eukaryota; Metazoa; Arthropoda; Insecta; Diptera; Culicidae
Exons: 3
Source: RefSeq, a predicted model, not a curated record
CACUAAUCACCCAAUGAUGGUCGGUAGCAGAAAGAACUAGUCUAGCCGAAAGCUGAGUAUUUUAAGUGUAAGAAGGAGCACUUCGGAAACGAAGUGUUAACGAAGUAUGACAGUAGCUCACUCCUAUCUGGCAAUCCUUUUUUAGAGUACUACAUCUGUUGGCAGAUGAUUGAACCAAAGGCGGGCGAAGUUAGCCCGCGCUCAAACCGCUGUGAACAAAGUUAUUCGAUUAUCGGGUGGAAAAUAAAACUGAUUAAUCUUCGACAUUGUGACUACGCAAUUCGUUGGUGGAGCCAACACAUUAUUAUUGGAACCAAGGGGUUUCACUACCCCAUCGUUCUCUCCAUGAAGGAAAAGUCUUUCGAUAUAUUUCAAGAAGCUAAGCAAUAAUCAAACUUGUAUUUGAUUAAAGAUAAUUUUUUGUUUUUUGAUACUGUGUUAGGCCGUUUUUAAAACUUACACCUCCCUCCAUCUCGUGAGGAAGAAAAGUAUAUUCAAACGAUUUUGACCAACACCAUUGGGUAUUGAGAACUGUCAAAUUAUCAACCUGUUUUGUUUACAAACCGACGCGAAAAUCAUCGACGGUGCAUGCUUGUCGUCAAUGUUUCACGGUUUUAUAACGAAGAUCGCGUGUUAACCGGCGGUAAAUUGAGGCCAAAAUCCUGUCCAGCGAAGGAAAUCUCCCUGGUGCGCACGUAGCAGCCGUUCCGUUUCAUUUAUCGGUGUGAUUGCCUAUGGACUUUCGAGUAGGAUCAGCUGAGAGGAGAGAAUUCGUUUGCUGAAGAAGAUUAAGGAUGAUUGGCCGGGUGUGAAUUCAUUCUUUGCAUCCGGACGACUUUGUGAAUGGACUCCGGUUUCAAAUCACAAACCGAAAAUAUCCCGAGAAGCUUACCAGACUCGUCGGCCAGUUCAUACGAGCUGGUACCCACCCUUGCAAGGACGGUGCAAGGUACA